ACGGGGCGCAGCAGGCGCGAACACUUUACAAUGCGGGAAACCGCGAUAAGGGAACCCCGAGUGCCAGCAUCAAAUGUUGGCUGUCCAGAUGAUUAAAAAUCAUUUGUUAGCAAGGGCCGGGCAAGACCGGUGCCAGCCGCCGCGGUAACACCGGCGGCCCGAGUGGUAGCCGUUUUUAUUGGGUCUAAAGGGUCCGUAGCCGGCCUGAUAAGUCCUUUGGGAAAUCUGGCAGCUUAACUGUCAGGCUUCUAAGGGAUACUGUCAGGCUUGGGACCGGAAGAGGUAAGGGGUACUCCAGGGGUAGGAGUGAAAUCUUGUAAUCCCUGGGGGACCAUCUGUGGCGAAGGCGCCUUACCAGAACGGGUCCGACGGUGAGGGACGAAAGCUAGGGGAGCAAACCGGAUUAGAUACCCGGGUAGUCCUAGCUGUAAACGAUGCUCRCUAGGUGUCAGACACGGUGCGACCGUGUUYGGUGCCGCAGGAAGCCGUUAAGCGAGCCACCUGGAAGUACGUCGCAAGGC
RNAcentral lists this ribosomal RNA (521 nucleotides) under uncultured archaeon. RNAcentral describes it as "bacterial SSU rRNA". It matches the Rfam family "Archaeal small subunit ribosomal RNA", at positions 325 to 849 of the family's 1478-position model. The record is from RNAcentral.